GCUUUAGAAGAAGUUUCCGGCUAAGUAGAAAAGAUAAGAAAACAAAUCAAUCCAUGUAUGAAUGCAAGAAGAGUGACCAGUAUGAUACAGCUGACGUACCCACCUACGAGGAGGUGAUGCCAUAUCGGCGACAGACACACGAAAAGUACAGGCUGGUCGUCUUGGUUGGCCUGGUGGGAGUUGGGCUGAAUGAACUGAAACGGAAGCUGCUCAUCAGUGACACCCAGCACUACACUGUGACCGUCCCCCAUACUACAAGAGCAAAAAGAAGCUAGGAGAGUGAUGGCGUUGAGUACAUUCUCAUUUCCAAGCAGUUGUUUGAGAGAAACGUACAGAAUAACAAGUACGUGGAAUCUUCUAGAACUCUUGAACUUCUUUGUAAAUACAUGCCUGUCUUCCCACUUUUAGCCAACCAUGG
Long non-coding RNA from Ochotona princeps (American pika), 418 nucleotides. RefSeq lists it as uncharacterized. The record is from RefSeq and is a predicted model, not a curated record. The transcript is spliced from 3 exons. Lineage: Eukaryota; Metazoa; Chordata; Mammalia; Lagomorpha; Ochotonidae.